CAGCCGCCACGGUAAUACGAAGGGGGCUAGCGUUGUUCGGAUUUACUGGGCGUAAAGGGUGCGUAGGCGGAUUGUUAAGUCAGGGGUGAAAUGCCGGGGCUCAACCUCGGAACUGCCUUUGAUACUGGCGAUCUUGAGUCCGGGAGAGGUGAGUGGAACUGCGAGUGUAGAGGUGAAAUUCGUAGAUAUUCGCAAGAACACCAGUGGCGAAGGCGGCUCACUGGCCCGGAACUGACGCUGAGGCGCGAAAGCGUGGGGAGCAAACAGGAUUAGAUACCCCGGUAGUCCCUGUCUCUUAUAC
Molecule: ribosomal RNA, 301 nt
Filed under: uncultured bacterium
Lineage: Bacteria
Description: partial 16S ribosomal RNA
Rfam family: Bacterial small subunit ribosomal RNA
Source: RNAcentral